GAUGAACGCUGGCGGCGUGCCUAAUACAUGCAAGUCGAGCGAACAGACGAGGAGCUUUCUCCUCUGACGUUAGCGGCUGACGGGUGAGUAACACGUGGAUAACCUACCUAUAAGACUGGGAUAACUUCGGGAAACCGGAGCUAAUACCGGAUAAUAUAUUGAACCGCAUGGUUCAAUAGUGAAAGACGGCUUUGCUGUCACUUAUAGAUGGAUCCGCGCCGCAUUAGCUAGUUGGUAAGGUAACGGCUUACCAAGGCAACGAUGCGUAGCCGACCUGAGAGGGUGAUCGGCCACACUGGAACUGAGACACGGUCCAGACUCCUACGGGAGGCAGCAGUAGGGAAUCUUCCGCAAUGGGCGAAAGCCUGACGGAGCAACACCGCGUGAGUGAUGAAGGUCUUCGGAUCGUAAAACUCUGUUAUUAGGGAAGAACAAAUGUGUAAGUAAAUAUGCACGUCUUGACGGUACCCAAACAAAAAGCACCGGCUAACUACGUG
This 497-nucleotide ribosomal RNA is filed under the name uncultured bacterium. RNAcentral describes it as "partial 16S ribosomal RNA". It matches the Rfam family "Bacterial small subunit ribosomal RNA", at positions 28 to 507 of the family's 1533-position model. The record is from RNAcentral.